RNAcentral lists this ribosomal RNA (242 nucleotides) under uncultured bacterium. RNAcentral describes it as "partial 16S ribosomal RNA". It matches the Rfam family "Bacterial small subunit ribosomal RNA", at positions 535 to 776 of the family's 1533-position model. The record is from RNAcentral.
CUAGCGUUGUCCGGAAUCAUUGGGCGUAAAGCGCGUGUAGGCGGUCCGGUAAGUCCGCUGUGAAAGUCGGGGGCUCAACCCUCGAAAGCCGGUGGAAACUGUCGGGCUAGAGUGCGGAAGAGGCGAGUGGAAUUCCUGGUGUAGCGGUGAAAUGCGCAGAUAUCAGGAGGAACACCAAUUGCGAAGGCAGCUCGCUGGGACGUUACUGACGCUGAGACGCGAAAGCGUGGGGAGCGAACAGG